GGCGAACGGGUGAGUAACACGUGGGUAAUCUGCCCUGCACUCUGGGAUAAGCCUGGGAAACUGGGUCUAAUACUGGAUAUGACCUUUCUCCUUAUGGGGUUUGGUGGAAAGUUUUCGGUGUAGGAUGAGCCCGCGGCCUAUCAGCUUGUUGGUGGGGUGAUGGCCUACCAAGGCGGCGACGGGUAGCCGGCCUGAGAGGGUGGACGGCCACAUUGGGACUGAGAUACGGCCCAG
Molecule: ribosomal RNA, 234 nt
Filed under: uncultured Actinomycetales bacterium
Lineage: Bacteria; Bacillati; Actinomycetota; Actinomycetes; Actinomycetales
Description: partial 16S ribosomal RNA
Rfam family: Bacterial small subunit ribosomal RNA
Source: RNAcentral